Molecule: RNA transcript, 830 nt
Organism: Nomascus leucogenys (northern white-cheeked gibbon)
Lineage: Eukaryota; Metazoa; Chordata; Mammalia; Primates; Hylobatidae
Gene name: survival motor neuron protein-like
Exons: 1
Source: RefSeq, a predicted model, not a curated record
AUGGCAACGGGCAGUGCCAGCAGUGGCUGUGGCAUCCUGAGCAGGAAGAUUUGGUGCAGUUCUAGUGCAGCAUAGGCCAGAGUGAUGAUUCUGACAUUUGGGAUGCUACAGCACUGAUAAAAGUGGAUGAUAAAGCUGUGGCUUCAUUUAAACAGGCUCUAAAGAAUGAUGACAUUUGUGAAACUUCAGAUAAACCAAAAAGCAUGCCUAACAGAAAACCUGCUAAGAAGAAUAAAAGCCAGAAAAAGAAUACUGCAACUUUCUUGAAGUGGUGGAAAGUUGGGGAUAGAUGUUCUGCCAUUUGGUCAGAAGACAGCUGCAUUUACUCUGCUACCAUUGCUUCAGUUGAUAUGAAGAGAGAAAGCUGUGUUGUGAUUUACACUGGAUAUGGAAAUAGAGAGGAGCAAAUCUGUCUGAUCUACUUUCUUCGACCUCUGUAGCUAAUAAUAUAGGACAGAAUGCUCAAGAGAAUGAAAAUGAAAGUCAAGAUUCAAUGGGUGAAAGUGAGAACUCCAGAUCCUGGAAACAAACCAUUUAGCAUCAGGUCAGAAGCUGCUCCAUGGAAUUCUGAGACCACGAAAGCCAGGUCAGGUCUAAAAUUCAAUAGCCCACCACCCACACCACCCUGCUUCCCUUCAUGCUUGCUGCCUUCAUUUCCUUCUGGACCACCAAAAAUUCCCCCACCACCUCCCACAGGUCUAGAUUUUCUUGAUGAUGUUAAUGCUUUACGAAGUAUGCUAAUCUCUUGGUACAUAAGUGGCUAUCAUACUGGCUAUUAUACAGGGUUCAAGCAAAAUUAAAAAGAGGGAGAGUACUCACGUUCCAAUUAA